GGGAUAGAAUUCCAGGAGUAGCGGUGAAAUGCGUAGAUAUCUGGAGGAAUACCAAAGGCGAAGGCAGUCCCCUGGUCCGAUACUGACACUGAGGUACGAAAGCGUGGGGAGCAAACAGGAUUAGAUACCCUGGUAGUCCACGCCCUAAACGAUGUCGAUUAGCCAUUGGAAGGACCCCUUUUCCUUUCAGUGACGUAGCUAACGCGUUAAAUCGACCGCCUGGGAAGUACGACCGCAAGGUUAAAACUCAAAGGAAUUGACGGGGACCUGAACAAGCGGUGAAUGAUGUGGAUUAAUUCGAUGCUACGCGAAGAACCUUACCUACCUUUGACAUGGCCAAAGUUCUACCGAGAGGCGGACGUACUCGUAAGAGGAUUGGCGCACAGGUGCUGCAUGGUUGUCGUCAGUUCGUGUCGUGAGAUGUUGGGUUCAGUCCCGCAACGAACGCAACCCUUAUCUUUAAUUGCUCCUAUUUUAACAGGCACUUUAAAGAAACUGCCAAUGAUAAGUUGGAGGAAGGUGGGGAUCACGUCAAGUCCGCAUGGCCUUUAUAGGUAGGGCUUCACACGUCAUACAAUGGUUAGAACAAAGAGCUGCAAAUUCGUAAGAAGGAGCCAAUCUCACAAACCUAACCUCAGUUCGAAUUGCGGUCUGCAACUCGAGCGCAUGAAGCCGGAAUCGCUAGUAAUCGUGGAUCAGAAUGCCACGGUGAAUACGUUCUUAGGUCUU
RNAcentral lists this ribosomal RNA (729 nucleotides) under Candidatus Tremblayella phenacoccinincola. RNAcentral describes it as "bacterial SSU rRNA". It matches the Rfam family "Bacterial small subunit ribosomal RNA", at positions 658 to 1382 of the family's 1533-position model. Lineage: Bacteria; Pseudomonadati; Pseudomonadota; Betaproteobacteria. The record is from RNAcentral.